Triticum aestivum (bread wheat) is the source of this 135-nucleotide non-coding RNA. NCBI's taxonomy places the organism in Eukaryota, Viridiplantae, Streptophyta, Magnoliopsida, Poales, Poaceae. The record is from Rfam.
CAACUACUCCCUUUGUCCCAAAUUUCUUGUCUUAGAUUUGUCUAGAUACAGAUGUAUCUAAUACUAAAAUGUGACUUGAUACAUCCGUAUCUAGACAAAUCUAAGACAAGAAUUUUGGGACGUUGGGAGUACUUU